UGUGUAUAUGUAUGUAUGGCACAGUGCUUGGUAUAUAGGACAGAAUAUAUAUAUACACACAGACACACAUACACACACAGACACACACACAUACAC
Molecule: microRNA precursor, 96 nt
Filed under: Ovis aries (sheep)
Lineage: Eukaryota; Metazoa; Chordata; Mammalia; Artiodactyla; Bovidae
Description: miRNA (ENSOARG00000022550.1)
Source: RNAcentral